GACGAACGCUGGCGGCGUGCUUAACACAUGCAAGUCGAACGGAAAGGCCCUGCUUUUGUGGGGUGCUCGAGUGGCGAACGGGUGAGUAACACGUGAGUAACCUGCCCUUGACUUUGGGAUAACUUCAGGAAACUGGGGCUAAUACCGGAUAGGAGCUCCUGCUGCAUGGUGGGGGUUGGAAAGUUUCGGCGGUUGGGGAUGGACUCGCGGCUUAUCAGCUUGUUGGUGGGGUAGUGGCUUACCAAGGCUUUGACGGGUAGCCGGCCUGGGAGGGUGACCGGCCACAUUGGGACUGAGAUACGGACCAGACUCCUACGGGCGGCAGCAGUGGGGAAUAUUGCACAAUGGGCGGAAGCCUGAUGCAGAAACGCCGCGUGCGGGAUGCCGGCCUUCGGGUUGUAAACCGAUUUCGACUGUGACGAAGCGUGCGUGACGGUAAUGGGUAAAGAAGCACCGGCUAACUACGUG
This 468-nucleotide ribosomal RNA is filed under the name uncultured bacterium. RNAcentral's name for it is "partial 16S ribosomal RNA". It matches the Rfam family "Bacterial small subunit ribosomal RNA", at positions 28 to 507 of the family's 1533-position model. The record is from RNAcentral.